AAAUGUGAGCACAGUCUGGCUGUGAUGUCUGUCACCUCAUUGAUCAGCAGGGUUGAUCUGGCUGAUCUGGCUGACUAGACAGGUGUCCCCUUCUUCCCUCACCACUCCAUGUACGUCCCUCCCAAAGCUGCACACUUGGUUGAAGAGGAUGACCCUCCCCAAUAGAGGAAGACAGUUCUUUUGUCGAGGGUAUAUGAGUAGCUAUACUCCUCUGCUAGAACCUCCAAACAAGCUCUCAGGGUCCAUUUGUAGGAGAGCGCAGGGUAGUUAGGCUUGCAAGACUCCAGACACAUUCAAAUGCAGCCCUGCAUGUCAUAGACCCUCCAACAUUU
Unclassified non-coding RNA from Ursus americanus (American black bear), 332 nucleotides. Its record names the gene 7SK. It matches the Rfam family "7SK RNA". From Rfam's summary of the family: 7SK was discovered as an abundant small nuclear RNA in the mid-70s but a possible function has only recently been suggested. Two independent studies have found that 7SK RNA binds the CDK9/cyclin T complex (known as elongation factor P-TEFb). NCBI's taxonomy places the organism in Eukaryota, Metazoa, Chordata, Mammalia, Carnivora, Ursidae. The record is from Ensembl.